UCCAAUUUGACGUAUGUAGCUUCCUACUUAAUCAGUAGGUUUAGGUUAAUAAUAUUCUUCGUCCCCAACCAGUUUGCUUAUAUCUCAAACUUUAGAUUCAAUUUCCUGGAUCUUUCGUUUUUCUUUAUUUACUUAAGGCGACAUUCCUAAGUUUGAACUGCUAUUAGGAGUGAGUUUUUGGGUGUAAAUUUUCAGCAAAACUCUAUACUAUUACUACCGGUAUCAAACCCUCGUGUUUUGCAAACAGGUCACGUCUAAUUUGUAGCUACAUGUUCUGAGAAGCAAGCAAGAAAAUAAAGAAUACUAUGGUAGCUAAUACAACUUGCGGAAAAAGCCGACCUAGCCCUGCAAUAUAU
Non-coding RNA from Erythranthe guttata (spotted monkey flower), 356 nucleotides. The record is from RefSeq and is a predicted model, not a curated record. Lineage: Eukaryota; Viridiplantae; Streptophyta; Magnoliopsida; Lamiales; Phrymaceae.